RNAcentral lists this ribosomal RNA (519 nucleotides) under uncultured bacterium. Its description in RNAcentral is "bacterial SSU rRNA". It matches the Rfam family "Bacterial small subunit ribosomal RNA", at positions 32 to 518 of the family's 1533-position model. The record is from RNAcentral.
AGGACGACGCUGGCGGCGUGCCUAAUACAUGCAAGUCGAACGGUCUUUCUAUGGAAGCUUGCUUCCACUGAGAAGAUAGUGGCGAACGGGUGAGUAACACGUGGGUAACCUGCCCAUAAGAGGGGGGAUAACAUCCGGAAACGGGUGCUAAUACCGCAUAGUUUUCUUGAUCGCAUGAUUGAGAAAGGAAAGACGGCCUUUGUGCUGUCGCUUAUGGAUGGACCCGCGGCGUAUUAGUUAGUUGGUGAGGUAACGGCUCACCAAGACGAUGAUACGUAGCCGACCUGAGAGGGUGAUCGGCCACAUUGGGACUGAGACACGGCCCAAACUCCUACGGGAGGCAGCAGUAGGGAAUCUUCCGCAAUGGACGAAAGUCUGACGGAGCAACGCCGCGUGAGUGAAGAAAGGUUUUCGGAUCGUAAAACUCUGUUGUCAGAGAAGAACAAGUUGGAGAGUAACUGCUCCAGCCUUGACGGUAUCUGACCAGAAAGCCACGGCUAACUACGUGCCAGCCGCCGC